RNAcentral lists this long non-coding RNA (1653 nucleotides) under Macaca fascicularis (crab-eating macaque). Its description in RNAcentral is "lncRNA (ENSMFAG00000048665.1)". The record is from RNAcentral. Lineage: Eukaryota; Metazoa; Chordata; Mammalia; Primates; Cercopithecidae.
UUUUUUCUUUUUCUUUUUUUUUUUUGUUUGUUUAGAGGCUGGGUCUUGCUUUAUCAUCCAGGCUGGAGUGCAGUGGUGCAAUCACAGCUCACUGCAGCCUCAAACUCCUGGGCUCAAGUGAUCCCCCGUUCUCAGCUUCCUGAGUAGCUGGAACUACAGGCACGUGCCCACCACGUCCAGCUUUCCCCUGGAGAUUCCGACCAUGGAACCUGAGGGUGCCAGGCAAAACAUUUCCCCAAACCUAGUCAGUCCAUUACCCUCCAAACCCUGAGCUUCUACAGGCUCAGAGAGGAGGAGUUGAAGAUCCCCAGGGUCUUUAUUGCGCAGCGCUCGACCCCGGGUGAGAGGGUUGCUGAGCAGGCCGGCAGGCGAGGAAAAACCAAACAAAACAAAGCAAAACACCUCCCUGCUUCCCUACAUGGAUUGUGAAUAGAAGGAGCUGCAUAAAAUCAAAGGAGUGGCACGUUGCAAGAGUAUCACGUGAAUCCAGAGGAGGGCUGAAGAGAUAUUUCACGCAGCCCCUGGAGAGAAGAUAGGCCUUCCCUAGCAGAGGUCAGAGGAGAGAAGGUCACAAACACGGUAUGACGGGCCCCAGGAGGCUAGGCCUGCUCUCAGCAUUGACCCUAAGUCACUCCAUGUCUGUGGAUAAACCAUCUCCCUUCUCAGUCCCCAGAAAACAAGGGACUAGCCGAAUGAGCCCAGAAUGCCUCCUCACCCACAUAUCCUGCCUCUUUUAGUCUGUGGUUCUCAGGGAAGACAUGCAAACAAGAUAAGGUGUGAUAUAUUUGUGCUACCACCAGCCACGUUCUCUCCAUUAGCACACAGCCUGGGCAUGUGGUCUGUGCCAAACUCACACAGUCAUGACCCCAAAAUCAGUGCCAGUGGCAAAGGCAGGCCACAGGAACAGGAGCAUGGAGCCCCCAGGAAAGAGCAAGGGGUUAGGCUCAGCCCUCCACCUUGUCAGGUCCCCUGAACACCAUGUAGAGGCAGAUGGCAAGACCAGGACCCCUUCACUGGGCCUCAGGUCAGAGGCAGAACUGGACAUGGCUGCCCAUGGCCCUCCCUGGAAGGCUGGUGGAGGUGGGCUCCCGGAAUGGGAACUGGUGCAUCCCUGAGGCAGCUUUGGUGAGGCUGUGGGGAAUGACAGCCAGAUGUCCGUGAGGAACAUCUGGCAUCUGGUGCAGCCUUCCCAAGUACAAAACCAGCCAUGAAUCAGAGCUGUCCCUGCGCACAGGGCUGAGGCCUGGAGAAGGCAAGUGAGGGGGUAUAGCACACAAUCUAGAGGUUGCGCCACCCCCACACACACACACUUACUCUCCUCCUUCCAGGGCACCCACUGGGGCGCUGUACCUCCCAUUGUAGACUGAGGUCACCUCUGAGGAUCUGCAGGCAAAGGGGCGAGGCCUCCCAGCUUUGCAUCCCUGCAUGGCUGAGCCACUACUGUAUCCUGGGCUCUGCUACCCCUGCCAUGCCCAUCCCCACACCCUGAGUGUGAAGCAACGGUGGCUGUAGGCCUUCACCUUCAGCUCCUCCAAGCAGCUCCCCUUCCAUUUCCCCCUGGACGACUGAGAACAAGCUGCUCAUUCUUUCCAUCUUCCGUUUCCUCAUCAGACCAUUACUAUGUGCUGUGCUCUCUGAUCAGUUAUCUGCUCA